This is a non-coding RNA of Lactuca sativa (garden lettuce), 2854 nucleotides long. NCBI's taxonomy places the organism in Eukaryota, Viridiplantae, Streptophyta, Magnoliopsida, Asterales, Asteraceae. The record is from RefSeq and is a predicted model, not a curated record.
ACCUACAUAUAUAUUUUAAACAAACGGCAAUCAUUUAACUUCACAUCACUCUGGAGGGAAUGCCACUGAAGAUAAAUAUAUCGAUCUCCUAUCGUUAUUUCAAAUCAUAGAUCUCCUACAAAAUAAUUUCUUACACUCAAACUCUUUAAUGGCCAAUCGUUCCUUAUCCUAUACAUCAUUCUUUACCAUUUUGCAGCUCUUAUGGAGUUGCACCUUUUAUGCCAAUGGAUGCUACACUUCAAUCACCAGCUUCGGAGACUCCCUAGCAGACACUGGUAACCUAAAACAGCUUACCUCUGAACUAAAUCAACCUCCAUUACAUUUAUUUUUACCACCUUAUGGUGAAACCUUUUUUCAUGAGCCUACUGGUCGUUGCUCCAAUGGUCGCCUCAUCAUUGAUUUCAUUGCUGAGUACCUCAACCUGCCACUGGUGCGACCAUUUUUCAAUGGCAAUGGAAGCAUGGAAUUGGGACAAGGAGUAAAUUAUGCGGUGGCAUUUGCAACUGCAUUAAAUAAUUCAUUUCUUGAAGCCAGAGGGGUUUAUAACCCUAUAACUACAAAUAUAUCUUUAGGAGUUCAGCUGGAGUGGUUCAAACAAUCGAUUUGUGCAAAUGUUUCAGAUUGUAGUCACCUAAUCGAACAUUCCUUAUUUCUCAUGGGUGAGAUUGGAGGAAACGAUUAUAACCACGCCUUACUUGCUGGGAAAUCCAUCGAUGAGGUUGGAACAUAUGUUCCAUUUGUUGUCGAGACCAUUAUCUCAACGAUUAAUGAACUUGUUGAGAUGGGGGCCAAGACAGUACUUGUGCCAGGAAACCUACCAAUUGGAUGUUCUGCAGCAUAUUUAACAUUGUACAAUAGCUUUGAUUCUACAAAAUAUGAUAAUUUAACUGGUUGCCUUAUACAAUUUAACAAGUUUGCGGAGUACCACAAUAAACUUCUAGUGACAAAAUUAAACCAAGUUCAAGAACUUCAUCCUGAUACCAAUAUCAUCUAUGCUGACUAUUACAAUGCAGCCAUGCAAUUUUUUCGUUCCCCAGAAAAAUAUGGAUUUGAAAAUGGAGCUCUAAAAGCAUGUUGUGGAGGUGGAGGGACAUUUAACUAUAACGAUUUAAUACUAUGUGCAAACCCAACAUCAACUGUCUGUUCUAAACCAUAUACAUAUGCUAAUUGGGAUGGAUUACACUUAACGGAAGCAGCAUAUAAAGUUAUCAGCAAGAGCUUAUUGCAAGGACCAUACACGGUGCCCCAAUUCAACUCCCUAUGCCCUACUUCAAUGUUAAAAGAGGGAGAUGGAUUAUCAAGUUUUAUAUAAAAAAAAAAACGCACGCAGAUUACAGUUCCUCUUCAUUUCCCUUUCUGUUUGCUUCGAGUUCCUUCACCAUUUUUCCGAUUUUCUUCUUCAAUCAGCUUCUUUCAAGCAAAUUUCUCCCCUCAUUGUUCCAAGCAAGUGUCCCUAGGUGUGGUUAAAGCUUUGGGAUCAAUUUCUACCUCCAUUUCUUGAAGAAAGAAGCAUUGUUCCAAGCAAGUGGUUAAAGCUUUGGGAUCAAUUUGUAGGUGCCUCCAUUUGUUGAAGAAAGGUAAGUUUUUUUUUUAUGAUUUCUUUUUUAUUUUGUAUGAAUUUUGAUUUGUAGCUUUAUGUAGUGAUUGAAUGAUAAUAAAUUGUUCAUAUUUUUGUUUUUGGUGGUAUUGUUUUGGAUUAGAAGCAAGUUAUUCAAUUUUUUGUUUGUGGUUAUUUAAUUGCAAUUAGUUGUAUAGCUUCAAGUUGUAUUUAUAUGUGAAAUUAUGUGAUAAUUGUCAUAUGUGAAAAUUGGAUUGUAUAUUUUGUAUUUGUUUGAAUAUAUGUGAAUUUGGUAUAUAUAUUCCAAUGUAUGUGUGUUUGAUGUAUAUGUGGUAUAUUAGUAGAAGUUAUAUGUAUUUGUUAUAAGUAGAAUGUUAUUGUGUGUAUGUGAAUGUAUGUAUGUUUGUUGUAAAUGUGAUAUAUGAUUGUGAAACUUUUGUAUUUGGUAUAAAUAGGAUGUUAUUAUGUAUAUAUGUGAAAUUAUGUGUAUUUGGUUUAAAUAGGAUGUUAUUUUGUGUGUAUUUGUAUUUGAUGUAUAUGUGGUAUAUGUAUGUAAAAGUAUGUGAAUUUCACCUUCUUAUGUAUUAUGUAAAACUAUGUGGUUUUGGUAUAAGUAGGAUGCUAUAAUUGAAAUAAAAAAAAAUACAUUAUUUUUAUAAAUUGAAAAAAAAACACAAAAAAAAACUAUAAAAUUGUUUAAAAACUUAAAUACAAAAACUAGAAAGCUUCUAGUUUUUACCCAAGCUAACUCCAAAUUAAUUAACCAAUAAGUUAUAUAGUUAACUUAUAAUUGGAAAAAAAACACAAAAAUAAUUAUAAAAUUCUUUAAAAACUUAUAUAUAUUUUAAUCUCGACGGUAAAAAAAACAACACAACAACAUAAUACGUAUGUAAAAGUAUGUGGUUUUCUUAUAAGUAGGAUGCUAUAAUUGAAAAAAAAAAUACAUUAUUUUUAUAAAUUGAAAAAAAAAACACAAAAAAAAACUAUAAAAUUGUUUAAAAACUUAUAUACAAAAACUAGAAAGCUUCUAGUUUUUACCCAAGCUAACUCCAAAUUAAUUAACCAAUAAGUUAUAUAAUUAACUUAUAAUUGGAAAAAAAAACACAAAAAAAAUUAUAAAAAUCUUUAAAAACUUAUAUACAUUUUAAUCUCGACGGUAAAAAAAACAACACAACAACAUAAUACGUAUGUAAAAAUAUGUGGUUUUCUUAUAAGUAGGAUGCUAUAAUUGAAAAAAAAAAUACAUUAUUUUUAUAAAUUGAAAAAAAAAAAAAAAACACAAAAAAAUAUAUAAAA